Long non-coding RNA from Cyprinus carpio carpio, 1293 nucleotides. The record is from Ensembl. Lineage: Eukaryota; Metazoa; Chordata; Actinopteri; Cypriniformes; Cyprinidae.
AAAAGUGAUUUUUCAGUCUUCUGUGUUGUAAUUUUUUGGGUAUGGUGUUAAAAAAAGCAUGUGUUCUGAACCUAUAAAUGUAUGCAAAGCAACUGCAAAGCCUUCCUGUAGUGGGACGGGCCGACAGAAGAUCAGAAACUUACUGAGAAAACGAAACACAUGAAAACAAGGCCAACCGCUGUUCCCAGAUCAGUUGAGGGCGGUAACCUAGUAUAAAUUACAGAGAGACACACUGAUCUGUCCUUUCCGUGACCAGAUCCUUCUGCUGCCAGAUCAACAAGGUCUACGGUGUUUCCUCUGUGGGAGAUGCUGUGGAAACCUGACUGGUCUUGGAGCACUAAUGUCAUCAUGAAGGAGGCGGAGGUCAUGUAAAUCCUUGCUGCCAGGGGCGGGGUCAUCUGGCACAGCGUCAUUCAGAGGGGAAACUCAUUUGCAUGAGUCUCUAUCUUUGUUUUGUGCUGGUGCCCAGAUGUGCAGAGGCCUGCGCAGUCUGCGAAGCCUAACACCGCUGUGACGCCUGACGAUCCGCGCAUGAAGCCUCAAAUUUCCGACAAAUGCUACAAAGCCAAGAACCGACCAGAAAAAAACCAAUGAAUGUAAUGCCAAAACUGAACCAAGAAAUCUCUUUAACACGUUGCUGACCAAUGAAUACUGCUACAAAUGUAAAGUAAAGUGAAGAAGCGAAUUUUUGGUGAAACCUUUGGUUUCUGCAUUGCUUGGUUCGGUUGGUCCGGGGCCCAGCUGAUAAAACAAAAAGCCCCGGAAAAAAUGUUUAAAAAAAUCUAAAUAAAAAUAGUAAAAUCUGCAACAAAAAUUCUUAUUGUACUGUGUUUAUUUUUGUUUAUCUUCCAGUGUUUGAUGAUGAAUUUAUUAACUAUAUCACUUCUUACACUAGGCCACUACAAGACUGUUUAGACACUGUAGGAAAAAAAAAAUAGAAAAAGAAAAUCAGUGGAGAAACAAAGUAUAUAUAAGAAAGUAUGUUUACACUUUACAACAAGGUCCCAUUAAUUAACAAUGAGAAAUACAUUUGUUACAGUAUUUAUUAAUAUUUGUUAACAAACAACUAUACAACUCAAAGUACAACUCUUUAUUUUAAUAUUGUAGUAAAUUUUGGACUAGGAUUAAUGUUAAUUUAUGUAGUUUAUGAAUGUGAACAAAUGGAAUUUUGUACAAAACAAUCAAAAGCAUUGCAUAGAUUUAACAUAAGUAUAACCAAGAGGCCAAACAUGAUCUUUUGUAUUUAAAAUGUUACAUAAUAAAUUAUAUAACUGAGAACAUCUGAGAUCCCAC